GGUAAAAUGGCUGAAUUAGGCGAUAAAUUGUAAAUUUAUUUAUGAGUGAUAUCUUUUACUA
This 61-nucleotide transfer RNA is filed under the name Antricola marginatus. Its description in RNAcentral is "tRNA-Tyr". Lineage: Eukaryota; Metazoa; Arthropoda; Arachnida; Ixodida; Argasidae. The record is from RNAcentral.